Molecule: transfer RNA, 66 nt
Filed under: Nesophrosyne ogradyi
Lineage: Eukaryota; Metazoa; Arthropoda; Insecta; Hemiptera; Cicadellidae
Description: tRNA-Glu
Source: RNAcentral
UUUUAUAUAGUUUAAUAAAAACAUUUUAUUUUCAUUAAAAAAAUGACUUACCACAGUAUAUAAAAA